This 497-nucleotide ribosomal RNA is filed under the name uncultured bacterium. RNAcentral describes it as "partial 16S ribosomal RNA". It matches the Rfam family "Bacterial small subunit ribosomal RNA", at positions 28 to 507 of the family's 1533-position model. The record is from RNAcentral.
GAUGAACGCUGGCGGCGUGCCUAAUACAUGCAAGUCGAGCGAACAGACGAGGAGCUUGCUCCUUUGACGUUAGCGGCGGACGGGUGAGUAACACGUAGGUAACCUACCUAUAAGACUGGGAUAACUUCGGGAAACCGGAGCUAAUACCGGAUAAUAUUUCGAACCGCAUGGUUCGAUAGUGAAAGAUGGCUUUGCUAUCACUUAUAGAUGGACCUGCGCCGUAUUAGCUAGUUGGUAAGGUAACGGCUUACCACGGCAACGAGAGGUAGCCGACCUGAGAGGGUGAUCGGCGACAUUGGAGGGGAGACACGCACAAGAGUCCUACGGGAGGCAGCAGUAGGGAAUCGUACGCAAUGGGCGAAAGCCUGACGGAGCAACGCGGCGUGAGUGAUGAAGGCCUUCGGAGCGUAAAACUCGGUUAUUAGUGAAGAACAAACUUGUAAGUAACUGUGCAGGUCUUGACGGUACCGAAUCAGAAAGCCACGGCUAACUACGUG